This 548-nucleotide ribosomal RNA is filed under the name uncultured Ascomycota. RNAcentral's name for it is "SSU rRNA". It matches the Rfam family "Eukaryotic small subunit ribosomal RNA", at positions 539 to 1098 of the family's 1831-position model. The record is from RNAcentral. Lineage: Eukaryota; Fungi; Ascomycota.
UUCGCCCUUGGGCAAGUCUGGUGCCAGCAGCCGCGGUAAUUCCAGCUCCAAUAGCGUAUAUUAAAGUUGUUGUGGUUAAAAAGCUCGUAGUUGAACCUUGGGCCUGGCUGGCCGGUCCGCCUCACCGCGUGUACUGGUCCGGCCGGGCCUUUCCCUCUGUGGAACCCCAUGCCCUUCACUGGGUGUGGCGGGGAAACAGGACUUUUACUGUGAAAAAAUUAGAGUGCUCCAGGCAGGCCUAUGCUCGAAUACAUUAGCAUGGAAUAAUAGAAUAGGACGUGUGGUUCUAUUUUGUUGGUUUCUAGGACCGCCGUAAUGAUUAAUAGGGACAGUCGGGGGCAUCAGUAUUCAAUUGUCAGAGGUGAAAUUCUUGGAUUUAUUGAAGACUAACUACUGCGAAAGCAUUUGCCAAGGAUGUUUUCAUUAAUCAGGAACGAAAGUUAGGGGAUCGAGGACGAUCAGAUACCGUCGUAGUCUUAACCAUAAACUAUGCCGACUAGGGAUCGGACGGUGUUAUUUUUUGACCCGUUCGGCGCCUUACGGGAAAC